This 240-nucleotide unclassified non-coding RNA is filed under the name soil metagenome. RNAcentral's name for it is "partial contains 5.8S ribosomal RNA, internal transcribed spacer 2, and large subunit ribosomal RNA". The record is from RNAcentral.
AACUGAUACUACCUGCGGGAACCUGCGGAAGGAUCAUUACUGAAGUGAUUUGGGGAUGUUGCUAGCCCUCUCUCAAGGGGGGGCACUGUGCACUCCUCGAAACAAUUCACAAUUUCCAUCACACCCCUUGUGCACACCUUGUAGGCACCCAAACCCACCUCCGGGUGGUGGGGUCCUAUGUAUUCCUUCAUCUCACACUCUGUUGAAUGGUGCCAUGGGACGCAUCUAAAGGAUUAUUUG